AGUUGAGAGAGGGUUCAAGGGAUCUUAGACUUAGAUUUAGAUAUGAUGUAUGCUGGGAAAAAGAAGAAGAUGCGAAAAAAAUCAUUAAAAAUGCUUAGAAUGAUGGUACUGCGGAUAUUAUGGGAAAGUUUAAGAAGGUGGGUGAUGCCCUUGGUCUUAGGCAAUAUAAACGGUACAAAAAUAUGAGCAACCAAAUUGGUGCUUUGAAAUAAAAAAAUUAAUAGCAUCAUUGAUGGCCCUGGGAGAUUGUGCAAGGG
Molecule: long non-coding RNA, 257 nt
Filed under: Gossypium barbadense (sea-island cotton)
Lineage: Eukaryota; Viridiplantae; Streptophyta; Magnoliopsida; Malvales; Malvaceae
Description: long non-coding RNA (GBAR_LNC008211)
Source: RNAcentral